This 213-nucleotide long non-coding RNA is filed under the name Mytilus galloprovincialis (Mediterranean mussel). Lineage: Eukaryota; Metazoa; Mollusca; Bivalvia; Mytilida; Mytilidae. The record is from RNAcentral.
AGAGCAUUUUUCUAUAUCAAUCCAAUAUUUUAAAUAUUCUACCCCACCAUAUUUUGUGGGGAUAUUUUUCUUACAUCUACAUUUGCAUAUAUAAUAUUUGAAUAACAACAAAAUAUUAUUAACUGUUUUACUGUUAACAAAAUCCUCAGACACACCUAAAAUUACUUCUUUUGCACUGAAAGGCAGGAGAAUGCUAUAAUUUUUAAUCCAAUC